CCUACGGGGGGCAGCAGUGGGGAAUAUUGCACAAUGGGGGAAACCCUGAUGCAGCGACGCCGCGUGUGGGAAGACGGUCCUCUGGAUUGUAAACCACUGUCCCCAGGGACGAAGAUGACGGUACCUGGGGAGGAAGCUCCGGCUAACUACGUGCCAGCAGCCGCGGUAAUACGUAGGGAGCGAGCGUUGUCCGGAAUUACUGGGGGUAAAGGGUGCGUAGGUGGUUUGGCAAGUUAGUAGCGUAACUUCAAGGCUCAACCUUGGAACUACUACUAAAACUGUUGGACUUGAGUGCAGGAGGGGCAACCGGAAUUCCUAGUGUAGCGGUGGAAUGCGUAGAUAUUAGGAGGAACACCGGUGGCGAAGGCGGGUUGCUAGACUGUAACUGACACUGAGGCACGAAAGCGUGGGGAGCAAACAGGAUUAGAUACCCUAGUAGUC
Molecule: ribosomal RNA, 441 nt
Filed under: uncultured bacterium
Lineage: Bacteria
Description: partial 16S ribosomal RNA
Rfam family: Bacterial small subunit ribosomal RNA
Source: RNAcentral